Molecule: non-coding RNA, 299 nt
Filed under: Lachnospiraceae bacterium
Lineage: Bacteria; Bacillati; Bacillota; Clostridia; Lachnospirales; Lachnospiraceae
Description: T-box sequence
Rfam family: T-box leader
About the family: Uncharged tRNA acts as the effector for transcription antitermination of genes in the T-box leader family.
Source: RNAcentral
GUAAAUGCAAUGAAGGUGUUCAGUAGAAUCUUAGUUUCUGCCAGAGAUCGGAAGUCACCGGCUGAAAGCUUCCCCAGUUCAACUAAGAUAUCGAAUUUCCCACCGGAGCAGCUUUUUUGAAGUUUUGUUUCCGACUUGACGGCUGGGCAGAAUGGUAGGAAAAGACGGAGUGACACGUUAUGUCUGUGAAGUGUCUAUAGAAUGUGCAGGUGCAAUUGUGUGUAACUGGCACAGGAAACAGGCGUAUUGUCUGUUUGAUAUAGGAAUUUGGGUGGUACCGCGGUUUAUUCGUCCCUUGC